GUAAGAAAAUCGGAUGAUGAGCCUCCCCAAGUUCCAGAAACAAACUUGGAUGAUGAGCACCCCCAAGUUCCAGAAACAAAUGUGGACGAUGGGAAGCCCCAAGUUGCAGGUAAGUUAUAAAGCCUAACAGACCCUUUGCAUGGUGUGUCAUGACAGUAGGUAAGGCUGUGUUUCUGUGUGAUACACUCAUUGAUCUCCAUUAGUAAGACUGGAUAGGACACAGCGCCCUCCAUCUUGUGCACGCAUGCGUAGUCAUCGGUGAGGCUUUGAAAGUUUGAAAUGCGUUCGUCCCACACAGACCAUGCAGCACGCCCAAGUCACGCAGUCGCAAACAUUAAACCCGCACUGUACUACCCAGCUGUUUGUGUCCACGUUUUCCGAAUCUUCUCUGCGUGCAAGUGUACGCAUGUCUUAUCCAGUCUUACUAAUGGAGAUCAAUGG
Patiria miniata (bat star) is the source of this 441-nucleotide long non-coding RNA. RefSeq lists it as uncharacterized. The transcript has 3 exons. NCBI's taxonomy places the organism in Eukaryota, Metazoa, Echinodermata, Asteroidea, Valvatida, Asterinidae. The record is from RefSeq and is a predicted model, not a curated record.